GGCUUCCCCUAAGACAGUGGUUCUUGAACUCCAGUGUGCAUUAGAACUGUGUGGAGGUCCCCUACAACACAGAAUGCUGAGCCCAUCCCAGAGUUUGUGAUCCAGUAGGAUGGCGGACCCAAGAAUUUACAUCUCUGAUCAUUUCCCAGGCUAAGAUUUGACUACUGCACUCAUCCGGUGACCAGCCAGCUCCAGACAACAGACCUGACACCAGCCACGCCCAUCGAGACAGCAGACCUGCUCCCCACUGUGUCCAUCCAUAGCUAUUCUGGCAUGGCAACCUGGCAGGGCGAUCUUGCUUGAAAGAAAUCGCCACGGAAGAAGAGAAACAGAUAUAGCAGUCAAAAGGGGGAAUUUUUGACACCCCCUCACAGAUGUGGUUGGCACCUAGUAAAAAAAUCCAUAGUACCUAUUGGAGCACAAUUGCCACUGCUCCAGCAUAUACACCAAUUAACCCAUUGGGCACCUGAAAAGAUAAUUUUGUGGGAAGAGCAAUGCUUUUAAAAACCUUCUCCCACAGCAGCUCAUAAAGCUAUACUGAUUGUGUUAUAUGCCCAAAAUAUCAUCUAGGGAAACUACUACAUGAAUCACAAGGCCACUUUCCCUUUACUAAGGGACCCUUUGAGGUAUGGCAAUCGGACUUACUCCAAAUGCCACCAUCUCAAGGAUAAAUAUAUCUUGUAAUGACUGUGCAUUCUCACAUUGGGUUGAGGCCUUUCCUUGCAGAAGAGCAAUGGCUCUAAUAGUAGGUAAAUUACUAUUAGAGAGAAUAGCUCCUGUUUGGGGAAUUCUUGCUGAGUUAUAUAGUGACCAGGGAACUCAUUUCACUGAACAAAUAAUUAGUCCAUUUGUAAUAUUGGGCCAAUGAUACAGCAUUUCCACUGCACUUAACAUCCCCAAUCCUCAGGAUUUGUGGAAAGGACUAAUGGCACAAUCAAAACUCAAUUGGCAAAGCUUUCAGGAACAUUUAAUCUCAUGGCUGAAAGCUGUUCUGCUAGUGUUCCUCAAUCUUAGAUCUAUGCCCUUUUGUAAACAUCGGCUGUCUCCUUUUGAGAUAAUAACUGGACAGUCUAUGCAAUUAGAUAAAGAAAUGUAUGAAACAACAUUACUUAAAGAAAAUAUCUUAAUUACUGCCAAGGUCUCAUUGAGACACUUAAAAAUAUAUUUAUAUGAGA
This is a long non-coding RNA of Diceros bicornis minor, 1175 nucleotides long. RefSeq lists it as uncharacterized. Lineage: Eukaryota; Metazoa; Chordata; Mammalia; Perissodactyla; Rhinocerotidae. The transcript is spliced from 3 exons. The record is from RefSeq and is a predicted model, not a curated record.